GUCAGGAUGGCCGAGCGGUCUAAGGCGCUGCGUUCAGGUCGCAGUCUCCCCUGGAGGCGUGGGUUCAAAUCCCAUUUCUGACA
This 83-nucleotide transfer RNA is filed under the name Dallia pectoralis (Alaska blackfish). RNAcentral's name for it is "tRNA-Leu". It matches the Rfam family "tRNA". From Rfam's summary of the family: Transfer RNA (tRNA) molecules are approximately 80 nucleotides in length. Their secondary structure includes four short double-helical elements and three loops (D, anti-codon, and T loops). Further hydrogen bonds mediate the characteristic L-shaped molecular structure. tRNAs have two regions of fundamental functional importance: the anti-codon, which is responsible for specific mRNA codon recognition, and the 3' end, to which the tRNAs corresponding amino acid is attached (by aminoacyl-tRNA synthetases). tRNAs cope with the degeneracy of the genetic code in two manners: having more than one tRNA (with a specific anti-codon) for a particular amino acid; and 'wobble' base-pairing, i.e. permitting non-standard base-pairing at the 3rd anti-codon position. The record is from RNAcentral. RNAcentral also lists the same sequence under 1 other name. Lineage: Eukaryota; Metazoa; Chordata; Actinopteri; Esociformes; Umbridae.